UACGUAGGGGCCUAGCGUUGUCCGGAUUUAUUGGGCGUAAAGAGCUCGUAGGCGGUUCGGCAAGUCGGAUGUGAAAUCUCCACGCUCAACGUGGAGGGGCCAUUCGAAACUGCCGUGACUUGAGUCCGGUAGGGGGGUGUGGAAUUCCUGGUGUAGCGGUGAAAUGCGCAGAUAUCAGGAAGAACACCCGUGGCGAAGGCGGCUCUCUGGGACGGUACUGACGCUGAGACGCGAAAGCGUGGGGAGCGAACAGG
This 254-nucleotide ribosomal RNA is filed under the name uncultured bacterium. Its description in RNAcentral is "partial 16S ribosomal RNA". It matches the Rfam family "Bacterial small subunit ribosomal RNA", at positions 524 to 776 of the family's 1533-position model. The record is from RNAcentral.